UACAUUGUAGUGUAUAUGCACAAGAAUUUUUGAAGUUCUUAGGGUUAGUUGAAUUCUAAUUAAUGUAU
RNAcentral lists this transfer RNA (68 nucleotides) under Perisphaerus sp. 3 ZQW-2023b. RNAcentral's name for it is "tRNA-Gln". The record is from RNAcentral. Lineage: Eukaryota; Metazoa; Arthropoda; Insecta; Blattodea; Blaberidae.